CCUACGUGGGCAGCAGUGGGGAAUAUUGCACAAUGGGCGCAAGCCUGAUGCAGCGACGCCGCGUGCGGGAUGGAGGCCUCCGGGUUGUGAACUGCUUUUAGUUGGGAAUAAAAGGGGGCUCGUGAGCCCCGUAUUGUAUGUACCAUCAGAAAAAGGACCGGCUAAUUCCGUGCCAGCAGCCGCGGUAAUACGGAGGGUCCGGGCGUUAUCCGGAUUUAUUGGGUUUAAAGGGAGCGUAGGCCGGAUUUUAAGUCAGCUGUGAAAGUCCGCGGCUCAACCGUGGAAUUGCAGUUGAAACUGGAGGCAUGGAGGGCACACAGGGAUGCCGGAAUUCAUGGUGUAGCGGUGAAAUGCUUAGAUAUCAUGAAGAACUCCGAUCGCGAAGGCAAGUGUCCGGGGUGCAACUGACGCUGAGGCUCGAAAGUGCGGGUAUCAAACAGGAUUAGAUACCCGUGUAGUC
Molecule: ribosomal RNA, 460 nt
Filed under: uncultured bacterium
Lineage: Bacteria
Description: partial 16S ribosomal RNA
Rfam family: Bacterial small subunit ribosomal RNA
Source: RNAcentral